This 886-nucleotide ribosomal RNA is filed under the name Halomonas elongata. RNAcentral describes it as "bacterial SSU rRNA". It matches the Rfam family "Bacterial small subunit ribosomal RNA", at positions 73 to 953 of the family's 1533-position model. Lineage: Bacteria; Pseudomonadati; Pseudomonadota; Gammaproteobacteria; Oceanospirillales; Halomonadaceae. The record is from RNAcentral.
UCCUAGCUUGCUAGGAGGCGUCGAGCGGCGGACGGGUGAGUAAUGCAUAGGAAUCUGCCCGGUAGUGGGGGAUAACUUGAGGAAACUCAAGCUAAUACCGCAUACGCCCUACGGGGGAAAGCAGGGGCUCUUCGGACCUUGCGCUAUCGGAUGAGCUUAUGUCGGAUUAGCUGGUUGGUGAGGUAACGGCUCACCAAGGCGACGAUCCGUAGCUGGUCUGAGAGGAUGAUCAGCCACAUCGGGACUGAGACACGGCCCGAACUCCUACGGGAGGCAGCAGUGGGGAAUAUUGGACAAUGGGGGCAACCCUGAUCCAGCCAUGCCGCGUGUGUGAAGAAGGCCCUCGGGUUGUAAAGCACUUUCAGCGAGGAAGAAUGCUUGUCGGUUAAUACCCGGCAAGGGAGACAUCACUCGCAGAAGAAGCACCGGCUAACUCCGUGCCAGCAGCCGCGGUAAUACGGAGGGUGCGAGCGUUAAUCGGAAUUACUGGGCGUAAAGCGUGCGUAGGCGGCUUGAUAAGCCGGUUGUGAAAGCCCCGGGCUCAACCUGGGAACGGCAUCCGGAACUGUUAGGCUAGAGUGCAGGAGAGGAAGGUAGAAUUCCCGGUGUAGCGGUGAAAUGCGUAGAGAUCGGGAGGAAUACCAGUGGCGAAGGCGGCCUUCUGGACUGACACUGACGCUGAGGUACGAAAGCGUGGGUAGCAAACAGGAUUAGAUACCCUGGUAGUCCACGCCGUAAACGAUGUCGACUAGCCGUUGGGGUCCUCGAGACCUUUGUGGCGCAGUUAACGCACUAAGUCGACCGCCUGGGGAGUACGGCCGCAAGGUUAAAACUCAAAUGAAUUGACGGGGGCCCGCACAAGCGGUGGAGCAUGUGGUUUAAUUCG